Molecule: ribosomal RNA, 965 nt
Filed under: Buccinulum vittatum vittatum
Lineage: Eukaryota; Metazoa; Mollusca; Gastropoda; Neogastropoda; Buccinidae
Description: 12S ribosomal RNA
Source: RNAcentral
UAUUUUAGUUGUUUUUGUAAAACUUAGAAGAUUACUUGUACCAAUAUGCUAAUUUUAGUAAUCAAUUUAGUUUAUAAAAAAUAAAUAAGCUUGGCUCUGACUUAUAAAUAUAGCAGGAACUAAAAGAUACACAUGGUUUUUUUGGAGAGAAGCGAGGUAAAGGAGACUGUAAUAAAAAUAAAAAAUUUGAGUUAGCACUCUCUUUUAAAGUAUUAUAGUUACAAAAAAUGCUUUGAAAAGUCCCGCUAACACCAGUGCUGAAGGUUAAUGAAAAAGUGAAAACUUGAAUUAAUUUAGUACACCUAAAUCUGGUUAACUUGGUGCCAGCAUCCGCGGUUAGACCAAGAGAUUAAGUUAUAUUUUAAGGUAAAAAGACAGUUAGGUUUGAAAUAAUUUAGUUCAUUGAUCAUUUAUNNNNNNNNNNNNNNNNUAUAUAAAUAGUUAAUUUAGUUAUAACUUUUUUGCUGAAGCUGUGAUAGUCCUGAGGGAAACUGGGAUUAGAUACCCCAUUAUUCUUGACUGUAAAUCUAAUCAAAUUUACCAGAGUACUAUGAAUCUAAAUAACAAUUUAAAACUCAAAGGGCUUGGCGGUGUUUUAGACCUAUUAGGGGAACCUGUCUCAUAAUCGACAAUCCGCGUUAGACCUAACCCUAUUUUGUAAUCAGUUUGUAUACCGUCGUCGUCAGGUAACUUUUAAAAAUUAAGAAGUUAGCACUGAAAAUUUUUAAAUUUAAACGUCAGAUCAAGGUGCAGCUAAUAAAAGGGAGAGGAUGGGUUACAAUUAUUAUAUUUAUAACUACGAAAAAUUUUGUGAAAACUUAAUUNNNNNNNNNNNNNNNNNNNNNNNNNNNNNNNAUAAACAGUUUGAAUAUGGCUCUGAAACGUGCACACAUCGCCCGUCGCUCUCGUUGAAAAAUGAGAUAAGUCGUAACAUAGCAGAGGUAAUGGAAAUUGUCUCUAGAUGA